This is a long non-coding RNA of Salvia splendens (bonfire salvia), 829 nucleotides long. RefSeq lists it as uncharacterized. The transcript is spliced from 2 exons. Lineage: Eukaryota; Viridiplantae; Streptophyta; Magnoliopsida; Lamiales; Lamiaceae. The record is from RefSeq and is a predicted model, not a curated record.
CAUAAUUCAGACACUGAAAAGCACAAUCAAUUAGAAUAACAAAGGAACAAAAUACUAUAGAGAUGUAGCAUAUAAAUUUACACUAACAUGGCAUUAUAUUGGGAGAUGCUUUCUUUUCUCUGUUCAGAGUAGGUGGAACAAACAUCUACUGUCCAGUUAGUUGGAUGAUCAUCUCUUUCUUUAAGCAAUUAAGCAAGGAUUGACAAAAUUGGUUGAUGAAAUGCUUACAAUCAGCUCCAAGAAUGGUAGUAUCAUGGUUUAUUGACAGUACAAUAUCUGUGUAUAAAGAUGAGUUCUAGCGUAGAAACGCCUAAAUGGAGUGUGUUUGAAGACGUGAAGAAUAUAUCUGCAGCUCCGGAGGCACUUAUGGCUGAUAUCAACGCUGCUAUUAGCGCCCUUGAGUAUGCUCGUGCUGCUGCUGCUGCUGCUACCUUCUUACACUCGUCUCCUUCCUCUUCGAAAGCAAAAACACUGAUCAAAAGUUGAUCCAUACGAUGCUGGAAUUAAGGCUGAUGAAGUCGAACCUAUAGCUUCAGCCAAACUCGAUGAGUCUCUUUGUUACACUUACGUGUGAAUAUCUCAUCUCGUUAGAGCCGGAUUGUGUUGUUGUUCAUUCUACCAUUUAGUUCUAGUGUUGGCUUUGAUAGACUGGAAACUUGAUCAAGAGAUGUUGAAGAUUAGGAACAUAUGUUGGAGUUGAUAAUGUUCUAGGCUAAUUUCUAUGUGAUUUUGUUGAAGAAACCGAAAACAGAGUAGAUAAACAUUUAUGAGAAGUACUUUGCAUUCAAAAGAUGAUUGCUUUCAUUAGAAGAAAAGCUAUCUUUCGAAA